RNAcentral lists this ribosomal RNA (256 nucleotides) under uncultured Pseudomonas sp. RNAcentral's name for it is "partial 16S ribosomal RNA". It matches the Rfam family "Bacterial small subunit ribosomal RNA", at positions 96 to 355 of the family's 1533-position model. Lineage: Bacteria; Pseudomonadati; Pseudomonadota; Gammaproteobacteria; Pseudomonadales; Pseudomonadaceae. The record is from RNAcentral.
CGGCGGACGGGUGAGUAAUGCCUAGGAAUCUGCCUGGUAUGGGGGACAACGUUUCGAAAGGAACGCUAAUACCGCAUACGUCCUACGGGAGAAAGCAGGGGACCUUCGGGCCUUGCGUUAUCAGAUGAGCCUAGGUCGGAUUAGCUAGUUGGUGAGGUAAUGGCUCACCAAGGCGACGAUCCGUAACUGGUCUGAGAGGAUGAUCAGUCACACUGGAACUGAGACACGGUCCAGACUCCUACGGGAGGCAGCAGUU